GGUGAGAUGGCUCAGUGGGUAAGAGCACCCGACUGUUCUUCCGAAGGUCCAGAGUUCAAGUCCCAGCAACCA
This 72-nucleotide transfer RNA is filed under the name Mus musculus (house mouse). RNAcentral's name for it is "tRNA-Asn". Lineage: Eukaryota; Metazoa; Chordata; Mammalia; Rodentia; Muridae. The record is from RNAcentral.